Long non-coding RNA from Homo sapiens (human), 1108 nucleotides. Lineage: Eukaryota; Metazoa; Chordata; Mammalia; Primates; Hominidae. The record is from Ensembl.
CACCGGCCUUCUCUUUUCCUUUUAACCCAACAGAAAGUCCAUCAGCUCCCUUCUCUUUCUCUUCUGGCUCUGUGGUCAGUUGUGUUAAUGUCCCUCAGCGCCACGGGGAGUGCGGGGGCCAUGAGCCCCUGGCCUAGGGGAUAUUGAUUUGAUUCAAGAUGUUUGUGCCUUCACUCUAUCCCCUCCCACCUUCACUCCCAUGCUUCCUUCACCAUCCUGGAGGGGGUCGGACGGAAGAGGUGAGGAACUGUCUUCCUGUGUGACUGAGGAAGGAGCCUGAAUAGAGAAGGCGGUGGCCUGACCAGGCUCACGUGUGGGGCUGGGUGAAGGGAAGCCCCAUUCCUUAGGAGCUUGGGCUCUUAGGUCCCAGGGCUGCUUCUCAGGAGGCCCUGUGGGCUGUGGGCACAGAGCGGGGAUCGUGCAGGCGGCACUCACGUGGCGGGAGAAGUAGUAGAAGCUGAGCAUCAUGAGGAACACCAUCACCGUCAUAGAGUACUUGGAAGGCACCAGGGGCAGCCUGCUGGGCAGAGCGUGUGCAACUGAAAGGGCUGUCAUCUGCCUCCUGGAGGGGGCCUGAUUCCCUCCAACUAGAUGGUGCUGCUUCCUGCCACCCCAGCCCUAGAGCUCACCCCGGCUCCUUAGGCCCUUUCACAUCAAGUCGGGCUCCCCCGGGCAGUAAAAUUUUCUUAACUCACUGGGCUCCUCUCCAACAGCCAGGCAACCCCUGGCCCCUCCUGGCUGCACCUGGUAUUCACAUCAGGGCUGCUCCCCAGGUAUUUAAGAAACACUGCAUUGCCUGACUGAUCACAGAGGUAGCUACAACCAUGCAGGAAUUUGGAGAAGCAAGAGACAUCAGUGAUGGGAUUUCAUAGCCAUGGGACUGGGGUACAAUCUCACCAUGGCUUUUUACCUUGUUCAUACAUAUUUUUAUGUGGAGCUGUGGUUAGUUUCCAUUACCGUAUGGUAUUUCACUGCAUGAAUAUACCAGUUAUGUAUCCAUUUCCUGUUGAUGUCAUUUGGGUUGUUUUCAUUUGUUUUGGGGGAGGGGGUAUGUCUAUUACGAACAGUGCCACUUUGGACAUUCUCAUACAUAUAUCCUGGGACAUGA